AAGAUUUUGGCGGUGUCUUAUCAACCCAGGGGAACCUGUCUCAUAACUCGAUAACCCACGAAUUCCUCACCCUCUCUAGAUUCUACAGCCUGUGUACUGCCGUCGUAAGCACACCCCUAAAAGAAAGAAGUGUGCAGACAUGAUUAAACUCAUAUACGUCAGGUCAAAGUGCAGCCCAUGGGAGGGAGAUGAUGGGUUACACCCUAAACAAAGAUACGGAAUAUAGUACUAAAAGCUAUAUAAAUUAUUACUUGGUUGUAACGUUUCUUCAAAACUAAAGUGAAUAUGAAUCUAAG
This 296-nucleotide ribosomal RNA is filed under the name Aporrectodea rosea. RNAcentral describes it as "partial ribosomal RNA small subunit". Lineage: Eukaryota; Metazoa; Annelida; Clitellata; Crassiclitellata; Lumbricidae. The record is from RNAcentral.